This 1329-nucleotide ribosomal RNA is filed under the name Triticum aestivum (bread wheat). RNAcentral describes it as "partial small subunit ribosomal RNA". The record is from RNAcentral. Lineage: Eukaryota; Viridiplantae; Streptophyta; Magnoliopsida; Poales; Poaceae.
AUGGGAAAUCAUACGGAGCCUGAAGAAAUUAAUGAAUUAAUGGAUGUAGUGACCGCUUAUCUAUAUGGGUCACUCGAUGCGGAAAUUUUUAUGAAAGUUCCUGAUGGACUUAAAAUUCCGAAUCCAAAUAUAAAUCGCAACAUGUAUUGUGUAAAACUACAAAAGUCACUCUAUGGCUUGAAGCAGUCGGGUAAAAUGUGGUAUAACCGACUCAGUGAGUUCCUUCUCAGUAAAGGAUACUCGAAUAACAAUGAUUGCCCAUGCGUAUUUAUAAAGAAAUCCUCAAAGGGAUUUUGCAUCAUCUCAGUAUAUGUUGAUGAUCUCAACAUCAUUGGCAACACAUCAGAUAUAACUGUAGCACGCAAUCAUUUAAUGACGGAGUUUGAGAUGAAAGAUUUGGGAAGAACCAAAUUCUGCUUAGGUAUACAACUUGAGCAUUUUCCCUCAGGAAUACUCGUUUAUCAACCCGCUUACAUUCAGAAAAUUUUGGAAAAAUUCAACAUGGAUAAAUCAUAUCCAUCCAAAACACCUAUGGUCGUCAGAUCCCUUGAUAUGAACAAGGAUCCUUUUAGACCAAGGGAUGAUAACGAGGAGGUAUUGGGACCUGAGUUUCCAUACAUCAGUGCCAUAGGAGCACUAAUGUACCUUGCAAAUUGUACUAGACCAGACAUUGCCUUUGCAGUAAAUUUACUGGCUCGACAUAGUGCAGCUCCAACAAAACGCCAUUGGACAGGAGUAAAGAAUAUCUUCAGAUAUUUACAAGGUACUAAAGAUCUUGGUUUAUUCUAUCGGAAAAAUCAAGACAUGACCCUGAUUGGUUAUUGUGACGCUGGAUAUCUUUCUGAUCCCCAUAAUGCCAGGUCACAAACAGGGUUUGUAUUUUUAUAUGGUGGAACCGCUAUUUCAUGGAAUUCAACAAAACAGACUUUAGUAGCUACUUCCACCAAUCACUCUGAAAUAAUUGCAUUAUUCGAAGCCUCACGAGAAUGUGUUUGGCUCCGUAGAGUAAUAAAUCAUAUUCAGACAUCAUGCGGUAUUGGUUCAUUACAAUCACCAACCAUUAUCUAUGAAGAUAAUGCUGCAUGUAUUGCUCAAAUGCAUAUGGGAUAUAUUAAAAGUAAUAUCACAAAACAUAUCUCUCCAAAACUAUUUUUUCCUCAUGAAUUACAAAAAGAUGGAGAGAUUGAUAUUUUGCAAAUAAAAUCUUGUGACAAUCUUGCAGAUUUGUUCACUAAGUCUUUACCAGCAGCAGCGUUUCAAAAAUGCAUUCAUGGCAUUGGUAUGAGACGACUACGAAAUUUGCAAUGUUCAGGGGGAGAAAUUUCCUAG